RNAcentral lists this microRNA precursor (104 nucleotides) under Marmota monax (woodchuck). Lineage: Eukaryota; Metazoa; Chordata; Mammalia; Rodentia; Sciuridae. The record is from RNAcentral.
AGAGGAAUAGCUGGGUCAAAUGGUGGUUCCAUUCCCAGAUUUCCAAGGAAUCUCCAUACUGCUUUCCAAAUUGGCUGCACCAAAUUUGCAAUCCCACCAGCAAU